This 1247-nucleotide ribosomal RNA is filed under the name metagenome. RNAcentral's name for it is "bacterial LSU rRNA". It matches the Rfam family "Bacterial large subunit ribosomal RNA", at positions 1635 to 2874 of the family's 2925-position model. The record is from RNAcentral.
UAUACGACCGUACCGCAAACCGACACUGGUGCGCGAGAUGAGUAUUCUAAGGCGCUUGAGAGAACUCAGGAGAAGGAACUCGGCAAAUUGACACCGUAACUUCGGAAGAAGGUGUGCCCUAUUAGUGUGUAGUGAACAACGAAGCAUGAAUGGGUUGCAAAAAAUCGGUGGCUGCGACUGUUUAUUAAAAACACAGCACUCUGCAAACACGAAAGUGGACGUAUAGGGUGUGACGCCUGCCCGGUGCUGGAAGAUUAAAUGAUGGGGUGCAAGCUCUUGAUUGAAGUCCCAGUAAACGGCGGCCGUAACAAUAACGGUCCUAAGGUAGCGAAAUUCCUUGUCGGGUAAGUUCCGACCUGCACGAAUGGCGUAACGAUGGCCACACUGUCUCCUCCUGAGACUCAGCGAAGUUGAAAUGUUUGUGAUGAUGCAAUCUCCCCGCGGAAAGACGGAAAGACCCCAUGAACCUUUACUGUAGCUUUGUAUUGGACUUUGAACAGAUCUGUGUAGGAUAGGUGGGAGGCUUUGAAGCAGGGUCGCUAGAUCUUGUGGAGCCAACGUUGAAAUACCACCCUGGUGUGUUUGAGGUUCUAACCUAGGUCCAUUAUCUGGAUCGGGGACAGUGCAUGGUAGGCAGUUUGACUGGGGCGGUCUCCUCCCAAAGCGUAACGGAGGAGUUCGAAGGUACGCUAGUUACGGUCGGACAUCGUGACGAUAGUGCAAUGGCAUAAGCGUGCUUAACUGCGAGACUGACAAGUCGAGCAGAUGCGAAAGCAGGACAUAGUGAUCCGGUGGUUCUGUAUGGAAGGGCCAUCGCUCAACGGAUAAAAGGUACUCUGGGGAUAACAGGCUGAUACCGCCCAAGAGUUCAUAUCGACGGCGGUGUUUGGCACCUCGAUGUCGGCUCAUCUCAUCCUGGGGCUGUAGCCGGUCCCAAGGGUAUGGCUGUUCGCCAUUUAAAGAGGUACGUGAGCUGGGUUUAAAACGUCGUGAGACAGUUUGGACCCUAUCUUCCGUGGGCGCUGCAGAUUUGAGGAAGCCUGCUCCUAGUACGAGAGGACCGGAGUGGACACACCUCUGGUGUAUCGGUUGUCACGCCAGUGGCAUUGCCGAGUAGCUAAGUGUGGAAGAGAUAACCGCUGAAAGCAUCUAAGCGGGAAACUCGUUUCAAGAUGAGAUCUGCCGGGGCCUUGAGCCCCCUAAAGAGUCGUUCAAGACCAGGACGUUGAUAGGUCAGGUGUGGAAGC